CCUACGGGGGCAGCAGUGGGGAAUAUUGGACAAUGGGCGAAAGCCUGAUCCAGCCAUGCCGCGUGUGUGAAGAAGGCCUUCGGGUUGUAAAGCACUUUCAGUGGGGAAGAAAGCCUUGGGGCUAAUACCCUCGAGGAAGGACAUCACCCACAGAAGAAGCACCGGCUAACUCCGUGCCAGCAGCCGCGGUAAUACGGAGGGUGCGAGCGUUAAUCGGAAUUACUGGGCGUAAAGCGCGCGUAGGCGGUCUGAUAAGCCGGUUGUGAAAGCCCCGGGCUCAACCUGGGAACGGCAUCCGGAACUGUCAGGCUAGAGUGAAGGAGAGGAAGGUAGAAUUCCCGGUGUAGCGGUGAAAUGCGUAGAGAUCGGGAGGAAUACCAGUGGCGAAGGCGGCCUUCUGGACUGACACUGACGCUGAGGUGCGAAAGCGUGGGUAGCAAACAGGAUUAGAUACCCUGGUAGUC
Molecule: ribosomal RNA, 464 nt
Filed under: Vreelandella stevensii
Lineage: Bacteria; Pseudomonadati; Pseudomonadota; Gammaproteobacteria; Oceanospirillales; Halomonadaceae
Description: partial 16S ribosomal RNA
Rfam family: Bacterial small subunit ribosomal RNA
Source: RNAcentral